RNAcentral lists this ribosomal RNA (643 nucleotides) under uncultured Actinomycetes bacterium. RNAcentral's name for it is "bacterial SSU rRNA". It matches the Rfam family "Bacterial small subunit ribosomal RNA", at positions 232 to 885 of the family's 1533-position model. The record is from RNAcentral. Lineage: Bacteria; Bacillati; Actinomycetota; Actinomycetes.
CGCGGCCUAUCAGCUUGUUGGUGAGGUAACGGCUCACCAAGGCGACGACGGGUAGCCGGCCUGAGAGGGUGACCGGCCACACUGGGACUGGGACACGGCCCAGACUCCUACGGGAGGCAGCAGUGGGGAAUAUUGCACAAUGGGCGCAAGCCUGAUGCAGCAACGCCGCGUGAGGGAUGACGGCCUUCGGGUUGUAAACCUCUUUUAGCAGGGAAGAAGCGAAAGUGACGGUACCUGCAGAAAAAGCACCGGCUAACUACGUGCCAGCAGCCGCGGUAAUACGUAGGGUGCAAGCGUUGUCCGGAAUUAUUGGGCGUAAAGAGCUCGUAGGCGGUUUGUCACGUCUGCUGUGAAAAUCCAAGGCUCAACCUUGGACUUGCAGUGGGUACGGGCAGGCUAGAGUGCGGUAGGGGAGAUGGGAAUUCCUGGUGUAGCGGUGGAAUGCGCAGAUAUCAGGAGGAACACCAAUGGCGAAGGCACAUCUCUGGGCCGUAACUGACGCUGAGGAGCGAAAGCGUGGGGAGCGAACAGGAUUAGAUACCCUGGUAGUCCACGCCGUAAACGGUGGGUGCUAGCUGUGGGCCACAUUCCACGUGGUCCGUGACGAAGUUAACACAUUAAGCACCCCGCCUGGGGAGUACGG